Molecule: long non-coding RNA, 1652 nt
Filed under: Lathyrus oleraceus (garden pea)
Lineage: Eukaryota; Viridiplantae; Streptophyta; Magnoliopsida; Fabales; Fabaceae
Description: Pisum sativum (pea) long non-coding RNA (PSAT_LNC017886)
Source: RNAcentral
CAAAAUCGGAAAGUAUCAUCCUUCUCAUUCCCUUUUUUUCUCAUGUACAUGUGCAAGCUUUUCACACUUCUCAUAUUCACCUCAUCACACUCACUCACACAAUUCCACUCACCAAAUAUCGUAACAUAUUCUCACAUGGUUUUCACCAAUUUCCUACAGACUUCUCAAACUCACACACUUGAAUCUUAACCUAGUUAUUCCCUAUAAAUUCUAAGAGAAAUGAGAAGAUGGGGAAGCCACAAAAUUGCCACAGAAAAAUCACCAUCACAUUUCAAUUCUAUAACCAUUCAUCCACACAAAAACCACCUCACUGCAUUUUCUCUUCCAUCUCAAACCAACUUUCAUAUAACUUAUUCUUCUUCUUUAUUCUUCACCACCUUAUUUUCAUUCAUCUUCAACCUACCACCUUACCAUAAUAAGAAUCAAUAUAACCAAAAAAGAAAAGAAGUGAAAAAGAGGUGAACAAAAGCAUCACUAACAACACUCACGGUCCACUCACCUCCAUCUUAUCACAAACCAUCACCUUAUUCUCUUCACCACUAUCUUCCAACCAACUCCUUCUUCUCAGCACCAUUAGUAAACUCAUAACAACCUCAUCUACAACAAAUCAUGCCAACCGAAAACUCCUCCAUCUUCAUUCUUAUAACUCAUCUACCCUCACUAUCUCAAUUCACUCCAUAAACCAUACCAACCAAGCCUUGCUUUAUAACCUUGUACAACCUUUAUAACAACACAAACUCUGUAAAAAUAACACAACAACAACACUUAUAAAUCUGCAGGAAAAAAAGAAGAAGAAGAGAAAGGAAGUGAUACAAAAUAGAAAAAGAAGAAGCAUUCGAUCGAAAAAACGUAUAAGCAGAACCACUGCGUCGGCCCACUGUUCAUCAUCACUUCGCCAGAAAUGUCGGUCGUGCGUCGUAACACCGCCAUGAGCCUCCAUACGAACCAACCAUCACUAUCGUCCAAAGUCGACUUCAGCGAAGCCAGCACCGCGAUUUUUCCUUUAUUGCAAAAACCAUUGCACGUCCACCUAUUUACCACGGGAUCUGCAACUCACGAUAACUCAUUUCCCCCUUUGUUCAUACCUUCCAUUUAUGAUUUUCGCUAUUUUUUGUUAUGCUAUUAAGCAUAGAGAAGAAGAUGACUUCGAGAAAGAGAGAGAGAGAGAGAGAGAGAGAGAGAGAGAAUCAAAUAAUAUGUUCUUUUAUGUUAUUUGUUAUAUUUGUGUUGUUUUUUUAAGUAUUAUUUUUUUCCAAAAUGACUCGUGUCAAUCCCCAGAUGGAUGACGUUUUUUUAAAAUGGAGGGAUCCUAUAUAGAAUCCCCCAUUAGGGUCUAUCGUGUACCCUCUUUUGUGAUCACGAGAUUAUGUUCUCAUAGCCCAUACCGUUUGAUCUUGAGCCCAUAUCAUAACCAUCAGAUCAAUUUGAUGGUCACGAGCAUUCAGGCCCUCAUGGCCUUAUUUUUUUAAUUUUAAUUAUUGGGCCUAGAGUGUUUGGGCCUUGCUGUUUUGCUGGAUCUCACCCCUCUUUCUUUUUUCUGCACCCCUUACUUUGCUUUGUUUUGCUAUUUCUUUAUCUUUUUAUUUUAUUUGGGCUUUAGUCCCAUUAGAUAUUUACUCUCACUCCACCAUUGUAUUGAUAGUGCAAUCCGC